AGUGAACGCUGGCGGUAGGCCUAACACAUGCAAGUCGAACGGCAGCACAGUAAGAGCCUGCUCUUACGGGUGGCGAGUGGCGGACGGGUGAGGAAUACAUCGGAAUCUACUUUUUCGUGGGGGAUAACGUAGGGAAACUUACGCUAAUACCGCAUACGACCUACGGGUGAAAGCAGGGGAUCUUCGGACCUUGCGCGAUUGAAUGAGCCGAUGUCGGAUUAGCUAGUUGGCGGGGUAAAGGCCCACCAAGGCGACGAUCCGUAGCUAGUCUGAGAGGAUGAUCAGCCACACUGGAACUGAGACACGGUCCAGACUCCUACGGGAGGCAGCAGUGGGGAAUAUUGGACAAUGGGCGCAAGCCUGAUCCAGCCAUACCGCGUGGGUGAAGAAGGCCUUCGGGUUGUAAAGCCCUUUUGUUGGGAAAGAAAAGCAGCAGGUUAAUACCCCGCUGUUCUGACGGUACCCAAAGAAUAAGCACCGGCUAACUUCGUG
This 492-nucleotide ribosomal RNA is filed under the name uncultured bacterium. RNAcentral describes it as "partial 16S ribosomal RNA". It matches the Rfam family "Bacterial small subunit ribosomal RNA", at positions 29 to 507 of the family's 1533-position model. The record is from RNAcentral.